AACUUUUAAAGGAUAACAGUUAAUCCA
Molecule: transfer RNA, 27 nt
Filed under: Leucochloris albicollis
Lineage: Eukaryota; Metazoa; Chordata; Aves; Apodiformes; Trochilidae
Description: partial tRNA-Leu
Source: RNAcentral